This 253-nucleotide ribosomal RNA is filed under the name uncultured bacterium. Its description in RNAcentral is "partial 16S ribosomal RNA". It matches the Rfam family "Bacterial small subunit ribosomal RNA", at positions 524 to 776 of the family's 1533-position model. The record is from RNAcentral.
UACGAAGGGGGCGAACGUUGUUCGGAAUUACUGGGCGUAAAGGGCGCGCAGGCGGCUCUGAAAGUCAGAUGUGAAAGCCCCGGGCUUAACCUGGGAACUGCAUUUGAUACUCUAGAGCUUGAGUACGGGAGAGGAGAGUGGAAUUCCCAGUGUAGAGGUGAAAUUCGUAGAUAUUGGGAAGAACACCGGUGGCGAAGGCGGCUCUCUGGACCGCAACUGACGCUGAGGCGCGAAAGCGUGGGGAGCAAACAGG